AUCUGCCUUUGAGCGGGGGACAACAUUUGGAAACGAAUGCUAAUACCGCAUAACAACUUUAAACACAAGUUUUAAGUUUGAAAGAUGCAAUUGCAUCACUCAAAGAUGAUCCCGCGUUGUAUUAGCUAGUUGGUGAGGUAAAGGCUCACCAAGGCGAUGAUACAUAGCCGACCUGAGAGGGUGAUCGGCCACAUUGGGACUGAGACACGGCCCAAACUCCUACGGGAGGCAGCAGUAGGGAAUCUUCGGCAAUGGACGAAAGUCUGACCGAACAACGCCGCGUGAGUGAAGAAGGUUUUCGGAUCGUAAAACUCUGUUGGUAGAGAAGAACGUUGGUGAGAGUGGAAAGCUCAUCAAGUGACGGUAACUACCCAGAAAGGGACGGCUAACUACGUGCCAGCAGCCGCGGUAAUACGUAGGUCCCGAGCGUUGUCCGGAUUUAUUGGGCGUAAAGCGAGCGCAGGUGGUUUAUUAAGUCUGGUGUAAAAGGCAGUGGCUCAACCAUUGUAUGCAUUGGAAACUGGUAGACUUGAGUGCAGGAGAGGAGAGUGGAAUUCCAUGUGUAGCGGUGAAAUGCGUAGAUAUAUGGAGGAACACCGGUGGCGAAAGCGGCUCUCUGGCCUGUAACUGACACUGAGGCUCGAAAGCGUGGGGAGCAAACAGGAUUAGAUACCCUGGUAGUCCACGCCGUAAACGAUGAGUGCUAGAUGUAGGGAGCUAUAAGUUCUCUGUAUCGCAGCUAACGCAAUAAGCACUCCGCCUGGGGAGUACGACCGCAAGGUUGAAACUCAAAGGAAUUGACGGGGGCCCGCACAAGCGGUGGAGCAUGUGGUUUAAU
RNAcentral lists this ribosomal RNA (838 nucleotides) under uncultured bacterium. RNAcentral's name for it is "bacterial SSU rRNA". It matches the Rfam family "Bacterial small subunit ribosomal RNA", at positions 124 to 950 of the family's 1533-position model. The record is from RNAcentral.